CACGUAGGGGGCAAGCGUUGUCCGGAUUUAUUGGGCGUAAAGAGCUCGUAGGCGGUUCGGUAAGUCGGGUGUGAAACCUCCAGGCUCAACCUGGAGACGCCACCCGAUACUGCUGUGACUAGAGUCCGGUAGGGGAGCGUGGAAUUCCUGGUGUAGCGGUGAAAUGCGCAGAUAUCAGGAGGAACACCAGCGACGAAGGCGGCGCUCUGGGCCGGAACUGACGCUGAGGAGCGAAAGCGUGGGGAGCAAACAGG
RNAcentral lists this ribosomal RNA (254 nucleotides) under uncultured bacterium. Its description in RNAcentral is "partial 16S ribosomal RNA". It matches the Rfam family "Bacterial small subunit ribosomal RNA", at positions 524 to 776 of the family's 1533-position model. The record is from RNAcentral.